This 492-nucleotide ribosomal RNA is filed under the name uncultured bacterium. RNAcentral's name for it is "partial 16S ribosomal RNA". It matches the Rfam family "Bacterial small subunit ribosomal RNA", at positions 29 to 507 of the family's 1533-position model. The record is from RNAcentral.
AGUGAACGCUGGCGGUAGGCCUAACACAUGCAAGUCGAACGGCAGCACAGUAAGAGCUUGCUCUUACGGGUGGCGAGUGGCGGACGGGUGAGGAAUACAUCGGAAUCUACUUUUUCGUGGGGGAUAACGUAGGGAAACUUACGCUAAUACCGCAUACGACCUACGGGUGAAAGCAGUGGAUCUUCGGACCUUGCGCGAUUGAAUGAGCCGAUGUCGGAUUAGCUAGUUGGCGGGGUAAACGCCCACCAAGGCGACGAUCCGUAGCUGGUCUGAGAGGAUGGUCAGCCACACUAGAACUGGGACGCGGUCCAGACUCCUACGGGAGGCAGCAGUGGGGAAUAUUGGACAAUGGGCGCAAGCCUGAUCCAGCCAUACCGAGUGGGUGAAGAAGGCCUUCGGGUUGUAAAGCCCUUUUGUUGGGAAAGAAAAGCAGCAGGUUAAUACCCCGCUGUUCUGACGGUACCCAAAGAAUAAGCACCGGCUAACUUCGUG